GGUGUCCUUGCCAGCCUCCAUCAAUCGCCCGGCGAUGGGCGGAACAGAGGAAGAGAGGGGCGAUAGAUGAAAUGAAAACUUUUCGAGUGUCGGCAGAACUGGGCCACAGCAUCCGAGC
Molecule: long non-coding RNA, 118 nt
Filed under: Oncorhynchus kisutch (coho salmon)
Lineage: Eukaryota; Metazoa; Chordata; Actinopteri; Salmoniformes; Salmonidae
Description: lncRNA (ENSOKIG00005043042.1)
Source: RNAcentral